GUUAGUACUCUGAAGAGACAGUCAGACUGGGAGCACAGGUCCCUCUAGGUUUUUGAACAGAAUCCCUCUGAAAUCCAUAUCCCAAAUGCAAAUAAGAAGUUUAUCUCUCCGUGUUUGUAUUUUUGUGUGUGCAUGUGUGCAUAGCAGAGAUAUAAAGAAGGCAUGGUAAGGAGACAUUCCUCCAGCUCAGAAACAGGAGCUGUAGGGUAGCAAGAAAUGUAGGAGGAACUUUCCCUAAAAGGAUGUCAGGGAUUAAUUGAGAAGCAGUCAAUGCUGGAUAUUUCUUCCUGGAGACCUGUCCUUUGGAAGACUCUCUCACGUGAUGGUGCCUGCUACGGGAAAACAAAAGGCGUUUCCAUUCCGGGCGCAGCUCUGAGAGCGGCCGCAGGCGGGAGGUGUUGACGAGCCGUGUGCGCGGGGCUGCGCUCCCGUUCUACUCGAGCGCCUGCUCUGCCAUCGCGGCGGAUCCGUGAUCCCGGGCCGAGCACCUCGUACAUCGCACAGCUGAAGGUGGACUGAAGCAAAUUGUGGCACUGGAAUUGCAAAGAUGCAGCUGGAUCCCAAAACCCUGCUGAACACAGGAACAUUGGAACCUGUGGAGACUGAAAAAUGGCAAGACAGAGGAGUCAAGGAUUGAUGAAUAUCUCCCAGGAGGGCCAAGGUCUAAAUGUAACAGCCAGAGGCAAGCCACAAACAUUGGAAGAGAAGAGCUGACAUGGAGCACCAACCUUGCCAGUGUUAGGGAGGAAAAAAAAGGAAAAUGGGAAAAAAGGAAAAAUGGAGAAAAGGAAGAAAGCCUGCAUUGGACCUGCUUUUUGAAUUUGAGACCAUCCCAGAAAACAGAGCAGAACUGUUCUGGGUCCACAUCAAAAAGGAGCAAAAUGGAGAUGGAAUCCAUCUAUAUAAGAGGAUUGGGA
RNAcentral lists this long non-coding RNA (917 nucleotides) under Chloebia gouldiae (Gouldian finch). Its description in RNAcentral is "Erythrura gouldiae (Gouldian finch) lncRNA (ENSEGOG00005006170.1)". The record is from RNAcentral. Lineage: Eukaryota; Metazoa; Chordata; Aves; Passeriformes; Passeridae.